RNAcentral lists this ribosomal RNA (448 nucleotides) under uncultured bacterium. RNAcentral describes it as "partial 16S ribosomal RNA". It matches the Rfam family "Bacterial small subunit ribosomal RNA", at positions 330 to 794 of the family's 1533-position model. The record is from RNAcentral.
GCCAGACUCCUACGGGAGGCAGCAGUGGGGGAUAUUGCACAAUGGGGGGAACCCUGAUGCAGCGACGCCGCGUGGGUGAAGGAGUAUUUCGGUAUGUAAAGCCCUAUCGGCAGGGAAGAAGCAAGACGGUACCUGACUAAGAAGCCCCGGCUAACUACGUGCCAGCAGCCGCGGUAAUACGUAGGGGGCGAGCGUUAUCCGGAUUCACUGGGUGUAAAGGGAGCGUAGACGGCCAAGCAAGCCAGGGGUGAAAGCCCGGGGCCCAACCCCGGGACUGCCCUUGGAACUGCUUGGCUGGAGUGCGGGAGGGGCAGGCGGAAUUCCUGGUGUAGCGGUGAAAUGCGUAGAUAUCAGGAGGAACACCGGUGGCGAAGGCGGCCUGCUGGACUGCAACUGACGUUGAGGCCCGAAAGCGUGGGGAGCAAACAGGAUUAGAUACCCUAGUAAA